GAAGCUGGCCAGACAGUCGCCGCUCACGCAAGUGAGGGGAGGAAAGUCCGGGCUCCGCAGAGCAGGAUGACGGCUAACGGCCGUACGCCGUGAGGCGAACGGGUGAAACGCGGUAACCUCCAUCCGGAGCAAAGCCAAAUAGGGUAGCGAUAGCGUGGCUCGCGCUGCUACCGGGUAGGCUGCUUGAGCGCACGAGUAAUUGUGCGCCUAGAUGAAUGACUGUCGCCCGCCGCAAGGUGGGAACAGAACCCGGCUUAUCGGCCAGCUUCACUU
This 273-nucleotide RNase P RNA is filed under the name Betaproteobacteria bacterium HGW-Betaproteobacteria-8. RNAcentral describes it as "RNase P RNA component class A". It matches the Rfam family "Bacterial RNase P class A". Rfam says of the family: Ribonuclease P (RNase P) is a ubiquitous endoribonuclease, found in archaea, bacteria and eukarya as well as chloroplasts and mitochondria. Its best characterised activity is the generation of mature 5'-ends of tRNAs by cleaving the 5'-leader elements of precursor-tRNAs. The record is from RNAcentral. Lineage: Bacteria; Pseudomonadati; Pseudomonadota; Betaproteobacteria.